CCUACGGGAGGCAGCAGUGGGGAAUAUUGGACAAUGGGCGCAAGCCUGAUCCAGCCAUGCCGCGUGAGUGAUGAAGCCCCUAGGGUUGUAAAGCUCUUUCAACGGUGAAGAUAAUGACGGUAACCGUAGAAGAAGCCCCGGCUAACUUCGUGCCAGCAGCCGCGGUAAUACGAAGGGGGCUAGCGUUGUUCGGAUUUACUGGGCGUAAAGCGCACGUAGGCGGAUUGUUAAGUUAGGGGUGAAAUCCCAGGGCUCAACCCUGGAACUGCCUUUAAUACUGGCAAUCUCGAGUCCGGAAGAGGUGAGUGGAAUUCCGAGUGUAGAGGUGAAAUUCGUAGAUAUUCGGAGGAACACCAGUGGCGAAGGCGGCUCACUGGUCCGGUACUGACGCUGAGGUGCGAAAGCGUGGGGAGCAAACAGGAUUAGAUACCCCUGUAGUC
Molecule: ribosomal RNA, 440 nt
Filed under: uncultured Mesorhizobium sp.
Lineage: Bacteria; Pseudomonadati; Pseudomonadota; Alphaproteobacteria; Hyphomicrobiales; Phyllobacteriaceae
Description: bacterial SSU rRNA
Rfam family: Bacterial small subunit ribosomal RNA
Source: RNAcentral